GUCCACGCCGUAAACGAUGGGUGCUAGGUGUGGGGGGUGUCGACUCCCUCCGUGCCGCAGCUAACGCAUUAAGCACCCCGCCUGGGGAGUACGGCCGCAAGGCUAAAACUCAAAGGAAUUGACGGGGGCCCGCACAAGCAGCGGAGCAUGUGGUUUAAUUCGAUGCAACGCGAAGAACCUUACCAGGGCUUGACAUGCACUGGAAAUCCGUAGAAAUACGGCCCUCCUUCGGGACCAGUGCACAGGUGGUGCAUGGCUGUCGU
This 263-nucleotide ribosomal RNA is filed under the name uncultured bacterium. RNAcentral describes it as "partial 16S ribosomal RNA". It matches the Rfam family "Bacterial small subunit ribosomal RNA", at positions 793 to 1055 of the family's 1533-position model. The record is from RNAcentral.